This is a long non-coding RNA of Rhipicephalus microplus (southern cattle tick), 583 nucleotides long. NCBI's taxonomy places the organism in Eukaryota, Metazoa, Arthropoda, Arachnida, Ixodida, Ixodidae. The record is from RefSeq and is a predicted model, not a curated record.
GGGCACUCGUCACCAUACUUGCUCUUAUUUCCUGUGACUUAACGAGUUAUACGACUGCUUCAGGUAUCAAACAGUUUGUCAACAAACUGGAGCCAGUAUGGACAGUCAGAACAACUCGAAGAGCACUUAUUAAGUGCGAGAUGGAUCAAGUUUUGUUGAUUAGACCACUGUCGUCUACAUUCAGAAGACGUGUUUUCCUGAACGGCACAAGACGUGACUUUCAAAUAUAUGGAGUAUUUGACACAGAGCACCUGGAGAGAAUGACUGUAAUAGAAAGAGACACCUUCAUCAGAGUUGAAAAACUGGAGUUCUUGUCACGUGACCAGUCAUGUGCUGUUAUUAAGGUCGAGUCACUUACAGACUGGCACGAGGUCUACUACGACCUCCGCGUGACAGAUAUGUUCGUGCGUGUAAGACCACUUCCCGCUUGUCGAAACUAUUUUAAACAAGUCAUAGGAAAUCUACCAUCGUUAUACGUUUACAAUCCCCAAUGUCAUCGGCUAAUGGGACAAGAAAGUUAAGGGUAUAUAUUCUGUUACCAGAAUAAUAUUUGUUUCUUCAAAAUAAACAACUUUCACAUGAA